This 10049-nucleotide long non-coding RNA is filed under the name Malus domestica (apple). RNAcentral's name for it is "long non-coding RNA (MDOM_LNC008732)". Lineage: Eukaryota; Viridiplantae; Streptophyta; Magnoliopsida; Rosales; Rosaceae. The record is from RNAcentral.
UUGGGCCUAAUACAUUUUUUUCUGUUGAAAAUAUACUUGAAGCUGUGAAAUUUGAGUAUCAAAGCGGAGGGCCGAGUUCUGAAGUCCCCAAAUUUCAAGUUUUCUUCAGUGAUAAAACCCUAAAUGAUUUUAACAUACUCUUCAAUUACCUCCCUCAGAACAGGAACUAUUAUGCAGCGGGUGUGCCAGGUUCUUUCCACGGUCGCUUGUUUCCCAAGGCUUCCAUUAACUUUUUUCACUCUUCAUUAGCCCUUCAUUGGCUUUCUAGGGUACCAAAAGAUGUAAUGGACAAAAACAGUCGUGCUUGGAAUAAAGGACGAAUCCACUACUCAAAUAACCAAGACGAAGUAUUGAAGGCAUAUCAAUCUCAAUAUGCUGAGGACAUGGAUUGUUUCCUCCGUGCCAGAGCACUUGAGACUGUGCAUCGAGGAUUGAUUGUGCUUAACCUACUAGGACGCCCUCUUAACUGUAUUGAAAUUGUGGGUUUUGACAUUUUUGGAUCUUGCCUCGUGGAGAUGGCUACGAAGGUAAGCAAUAUUCAUCAACCUGCAUACACCGGUCUAUUAACUUGGUUUCUAGCUUUUUUUCUUUCCGAGUAGAGGUAUUUAACGGAUUUUGAAUGUUUAAAAAAUUGAUCAAUGUCAAGGUAACUGGAGAGUUUUAUGUCACAUAUUUCAUAUUGCAAGUAUUGUUGCUUUAUGCAGUAUUUCAGAAGAUCGUAUCUUAGAUAUAUAUAUAUGGGUGCAUGAUUAAUACUAUAUGUUUUUCGUUGACAUAUAGGGGGUAAUUAGUGAAGAAAAAGUAGAUUCAUUUAACAUCCCUUCCUACUUCGUGUCUCCCCAAGAACUGGAAGUCAUUGUGGAACGAAAUGGAUGCUUUAGCAUAGAGAUAUUGGAAACCUUACCUCAGCAUGUCUUGAGUGGCUCUCCCAGUGCUCCUGCUAUGAGAGCUUUCACUGAGGGACUGAUCAAGCAACAAUUUGGAGAAGAAAUCUUAGAUGAUCUCUUCAGCUUGUAUCACCAGAAACUUGAAGAGCAAAUGUCGAUAGCUGAGUCAAAGAAGGCAGUUGUCCUUUUUGUUGUGCUUAAACGCAAGACUAAUUGAUUUGAACAUUCAUUGUUUAUUUGUUUGUAUUCCUGAAACUCUCUGUUUGUUGGUUAUUUAGUAUUGAAGAGUAGAUUUUAAGUGAGCUUCACUCUGUAUAACAAUGGAAAGAUAUUAGCUACCUAUACUCGACAGUGCAUCUGCAAGUGUCAUAAUGUCCCAUACUUUGAUUCUUAUCGCAAAAUCGUCAAAAAAAUCCGUUAGUAAUGCACAAAUGAAACCCACUAUGUCGAUGAAAUGAAACCCACUCAUGAGUUCCAUGAUGUGUCCAACAAAAAAAUAAUGAAAAAACUAAGGGACAAAUCUUGUUUAUGUCAGGGGAGGGAAGAGGAUAAGAACCUGGAAUGCAAUGGGUUGAAGAUGUAGUUCCAAAUUGUCCUACAAAUAAUAUGCUUCCACAUGUUUUAAAAGUAGUCUUUUCAAAUUAAAAUUGCACGAUUUAAGUUACAAUGUUUACAAUAAUUACGGUUGAUUAGGAAUCUGUAGUACUAUUUUAACACCACUUUUAUCUUAGUUUGACUACAUAAGAGCUAGAUGAGGGUGAAGAACGAACAAUGUUGUUUACUGCAGCAUGAUGAAGGAUCGUACCCAGUGCACAAGGCUCCCGCUUUACGCAGGGUCGGGGAGAGGUGAAUGUCGGCUAGCCUUAUCCCCAUUUAUGGAGAGACUGCUCCCAAGUCUCGAACCCGAGACCUGCAGCAUGAUGAAGGAUGGUUACAUGAAAUAUGGAUAUGUAGAAGCAGCUAAAGAACACAUGGCUUCAGAACGGGUCCAAACAGAGUGUUAUCAUCAUCAGGCUUCAGAGCGAUUCCGAACAUAUCAGUACAAAUAGAGUCAUAUAAACGGAUUUGGAGAGCUGGAGCAGCAAGUGUAUAAUAAACAGCAACUUUGGUCUUUUUGAACCGGAACUAAUCUUUUGGGCUCGUGAAAGACCUAAAUGAUGGUCAAGAAUCGAACAAUGUUUUUUACUGCAACACGAUGAAUAAUGGUUACAUGCAAUAUGGAUAUGUAGAAGGAGCCAAAGAAUUGUUUGAAAAGCAUAUGUGUCCAGCCUGAUAUUGUGGAGCCUUUGCUAGGCUCUCUUAUAAAGCUAAUAGAGUGUUGGGCGUGCCAUUGUUGGCCAAGACCAACAGAUUUUAGAUUGCUUUAGGUGUUUGAGUUGUUUAUUUACGCCGUAAGUUACAUAAGCUUUUUAAUCAACAGAUUGUUUAUGGAGGGGUUAAGUCCAUAAUGAGUUCUUUUCUAUGCCUUGAAGACAAGGACCUAUAAUUUUGUGUUAAAUGUGAAUUGAUCAUGAAUUAACCAAUAAUAAUUUGAGUUUCAUUAUCAUGGUUAGUUAAAAGAAAUAAAACAGAGAGGGAAGACAAACAGAUAUUGAGGAGGUACUUAAACUGAAAAGCUUGCAGUAAUUCAUAGUGUAAAUAAAAAUGACAGUACAAUGUAUGUAAAAGUCAUAAUUGACGCAAUGAGUAAUGAACAUAAGAGUUUAAACUAAGUUUUAACCUAUCCGGGCAAACUUCUUGCAGUGGAAAGAGUACAAACUUGAAUGGAAAACAAAGGAAAUAACAACAAAGAAAUCGAUACUACAAAAAGAUGUAGCAGAGCUAGACACUGUAAAGGUGAUGACUGGACUGCAAAAAGAAUGCAAAGAAACUGACAGAGUUUUAAGAGUCUUUUUUAAAGUUGAGUUGAGUGUCCUUUUCUCCAUGCUUCCCCGCCGCUUUUAUAGAGUUUUAUUCUCUGUGAUUAAACUUCUUCCUUCUCAUCCAAUAAAUUUAUGCAAUAGGUUGUCAAGCGGUAGCAAACUGUUGAUUAUUAUUACAAUAACUUUUCAAACUAUUCUCACGCAUCAGAACACGUCAUCGUUAUCAACUAGCCACCUUAGACUUUUCCAUUAGUUUUUUCUUAUUGCCUUAGGAUUAUAGAGUGAAGUUGUAGCCAAUAAACUGCACAUAUAAAUAAGAAUGAUUCCCACGAUACCAUUCACAUACCCGUAACCAGUUAAAGAGCAAGAGAGAGAAAUGGCAGCUGCAGUUAGUGGCGAAGCCACGUGAGGGCAAGGAGUGGCGGCCGUCACUCCCCUCGUCGGAGAUGAAGCCUAGGAGCAAGUACCCGCCCUUCCUCUCACCGGAAAUGAAGCCCUGUUUUUUGUUGCAGCUGCACAAAUGCUGCGCGCGCAGUGGCGAGCCAUAGAGAUGCAAGGAGGUGUGAUCGCACCUCCAGGCAUCAGAACUCGACUCUAAGAGCGAUAAGCCGUCCCUCCGGACGUCAUCCCUAAGAACCUGCACUAAAACAAUGAAAUUUCACAUAUCUUCUCGCGAGGAAGAAGAAUUGUAGCACAUUUCAGUUUAUUGGCUUUAAGAGGAAUGGUGCCGUUACGUUUAUUGGCUUUAAGAGGAACUGUGUCGUCAUGUUUAUUGGCUUUAAUGGAACGAUGCUGUUACGGGUAUAGGCUUUUGACUUAGUUAUAUCUACAACCCACAUGAAACUGGUUCGGCCCAAUUUUUGGGCUCUUUUUCGUUUUUCUUUUUAUUUUGUUUAAUAUUUUAUUAAAAUGAAGGCAUUUUGGUGCUGUGAUUAUCCCUCGAUUUCAUUUUUUUAGUUGUUUUAAUUAUGUCAAGUUGCCACUUAGUACAACAGUCUAAUAGUAUUUCUCUUCACUUGUAAGUGAUAGGUCUUAGGUUUAAUUCACGUAAAAGGCGAAUUUGAACCAUAUUAUUAGUAACUCAUUAUAAGGCUUAGCCUACUCUCUCACCCAUUAAUGAUAAUAUCGUUUGUUCAAAAAAAAAAAAAAAAAAAAAAAAAAAAAAAAAAAAAAAUAUAUAUAUAUAUAUAUAUAUAUAUAUAUUAUAUAUCAAGUUGGUUAUUGUGUCUUUUGUUAGACAUCUCUAAUCUACUUUAUGAAUUUAAUGAUAGUAUAUAAUUCAGUUAAGAGCCAUAAUUUUGAGAAUGUUAAUCAAAUGAAUAUAUUAAUUAGUACUUAUAUCGUCGAUAUACAUUCCACAAAAAAGUAUACAUGUUAACUUUUCAUCAGAAUACCACACUUACAAAAAUGAUGUUCUUUUCAUCUACUUGUACCAUCUCUUUAAUAGAGAUGACACUCACAUGUAUUGGUGGACUCUACCUCUAUUAAAGAGUUUUCCUUAAACACCAACACACUGCCCCCAUCAACUCGCAUGACCAACACCACACCGCAGCUGACACGGCCACCAUCACUGACAAACAGAUCGCUUGCUAGGACACAUCUAAAAUUGGCUAAUUGCAUUCAUAUUCAUAUUUGGAUGAGGAUUUUCUAAGUUCCAAAGGAAUGAUGCCAAAUUAUUAGGGAAAGUAACACAAAAUAUGAACAACAUUGUAACUUGUUUAUAUUGACAAAUUAUGAACGACUUUAAUUUUAUUUACUAUCUGAAAUGAUGUGGGUGUCGAUAUUUUUUUGGACCUUUUACCUUUUGAAAUUUCGCCCCUCCCCCCCCCCGGGCCGAAAAUUUCUGGCUUCGCCACUGGUGUAGAAGUUUUUUGGUAAUGUUUCUGAAGCAUACCCAAUGACAGGUGGAGAUGGCCCCAACAGCUAUGCCAAGAACUCUAUACGGCAGGUUCUGCUUAUGUAGCCUUCACUAGUAUAUAUUAGGAAAUUCUCACGAUGCGUUUUUUUGGUUCAACUAGUAAAAGUUGCAAAUUAAACUAUUCAUUUAUCAUAAUAUUUUUCCAUUCCUUUCUGUGCUUUUGUAGAAAGGAGUUGUUGAUGCUGCCAAAUAAUUCUAACCAAGGGUAUUAAACAAAAUCUUGAUCUGGACAUCUUCUUACCUUGCAACACCUUCCAUAUUGCAGAUUUGCGUUACUCGGUUGGGCCUAAUACAUUUUUCUCGGUUGAAAACAUACCUGAAGCUGUGAAAUUCGAGUAUCAAAGCCAAGGGCUAAGUUCUCAAAUUACCGAAUUUCAAGCUUUUUUUCCACUGAUCAUACCCUAAAUGAUUUUAACAUGCUCUUCAAAUCCCUCCCGCAGAACAGGAACUACUAUGCAGUGGGUGUGCCAGGUUCUUUCUACGGUUUGCUUGUUUCCUAAUAAGGCUUCCAUUCCCUUUUUUCACUCGUCAUUAGCGGUUCAUUGGCUUUCUAGAGUACCAAAAGAUGUAACGAAAAAAAACAGUGGAGCUUGGAAUAAAGGACGAAUCCACUACUCAAAUUCCCAAGACGAAGUAGUCAAGGCUUAUCAAGCUCAAUAUUCUGAGGACAUGGAGUGUUUCCUCCAUGCCAGGGCGCUAGAGACUCUGCAUGGAGGAUUGGUAGAGCUUACCCUUUUAGGACGCCACAAUGGUACCCCUCAUUCUCACUCUCUAGGAAAUGUGACUCUUUGACAUUUUAGGAUCUUGCCUCCAGGACAGGGCUAGGAAGGUAAGCAAUAUCCAUACAUCACUACUCUAUGUUUGAUAUUGUAGUAAAACUACAUCAUAAUAAUAUUAUACUUUGUUAUGUAAAAUCUAAUAGUUCGGAAGAACAAAUUUUAUUCAGGUAUUGAGGACUAAUAUAUUGUUUUUUUUAAUCAUUUUAAUUAUCAAUGGACUAGUAAAUCUGCCUUGUAAAUUUAUUAAAGAUAAUGCUAUUCACACACCUAUUUUCUCUCACAUACCUUUGUAAUUUUUUUGUUAUUGAUCAUCUUCAAUUUAUACGAUCAGACGGUUGAAAAUUGAGAUGAGUGUGUGAGAAGUAAAUAUGGGUUUGUGAAUUGCACUACCCCUUUAUUAAAUUGGUUAGUUGAAUAAGUUUUCAUUUUUUACUGAGAGGGUGUAUUUUAAUGAAUUUUCAAUGUUUAGUAAUUAAGGUGGUGAAUGAGCAUAAAAGUAACAAUAAAAUAGUAGUCGUGUGACAAUGAUAUAUGAAUGUCAAAGAUACAUAUAAAAAUCAAUUCAACGUAAUUUGAGUGUUUUAUGUCCUUUUUUUUUUUCUCAACGCUUUAGAAAAUUAGAUUCAUUUAACAUCCCUUCAUACUUCUCCCCAAAAACUGGAAGUCGUUGUAGAACGAAAUGGAUGCUUUUAGCAUACAGAUUUUGGAAACCAUACUCAUCUUGUCCUGGAACAUGGCGAUCUCUCUAUAGCUAAACGUAGUGCAUCUACUGUUGAGUUUUGGUUUCAAUAUUUGUUGUAUAUUUCAUUAUGAAUGUUACAAGAGAGUGAAGGCAACUCUUAUAGAGAGUCAAAAGAAAGCUACAAUAGAUUGUAGGAUAACUACACAAACACAAUCCCUAAAAUCUGCCCUAACAAGUGGAAAAACAAAAACCAAAUUACAAGUAAAUAAGUUUUUACAAGCAAUUAAGAAAGGUUGAUGUAAGGUGAAUGACAAGGGUUGAUGUAAGGUGAAUGACAAACUAUGAAAAGUGAGGUUGAUGUAAAGUGAAUGACAAGUUAUGGAAAUGGACUUUAGCCUAUGACUUAGCUAAAGUGAGGAUGACAACUCAUACAUACAACCUAUCCAUACAAACCGGUUACAACCCAUCCAUACAAACCGGUUACAACCCAUCCAUACAAACCGGUUUCAAUAUCUACCAUGAGAGCUGCCACAGAGGGACUCAUUAAGCAACAAUUUGGAGAAGAAAUCUCAGAUGAUCUCUUCAACUUGUAUCAGCAAAAACUUGAAGAGCAAAUCUCAAUAUUUACGUCAAAGGAGUUGGUUAUCUUUUUUUGUUGUGCUUAAACGCAAGACAAAUUGAUUUGAGCAUGCUGUUUUAGUGUUCACGAAACUAUCUGUUAAAUUUCCUAAUGUUAGUUAUUUAAUAAUGAAGAGUAGAUUAGAAGUAUGUUUUUUUAGUACAAUGAUAUAUUUUACACUAAAGGGAGAUGGGAGUUCAGCUAAGCCACACAAUGAGUAACUUAAUUUGGUAUCGAAUUCGCCAUUCACGAGAUUCGAACCUAAACCUGUCAUUUACAAGUGAAGAGGCAUACCACCAAAUUGUAGUACUGAGUGGCAGAUUAGAAGUAUGUUAGCUACCUAAAAUACACAAGAGCCAUAACUCAAUAUGGUGGUUAGUUAUUUACCCCAAAAAUUAAAGUGCCUAAUCAGAAGAUAAAAAGUUAAGGCUUAAAUAUUGUUGUAACGUCCUGUUUGGGCCCAAAAUAUAAAUUUAGGGUGAGAAUGAGUAAUUUGGAAUAAAAAGCCCGUUAUUUGGCCCAUCAUUGGUUUCGUGAGUUAAGAGUGUUCCGGACCUAUACGACAUCAGCCCAACUGAGUCCUUAUGACUGAAGAAUUGUGAAGGGAUCACGUUUGAGCAAGUCUCGGUCGAGUCUUAGAUGAACAAAAACUUUUAGAGUGCGUUUGUUGCACUGGACUAUUUCGGAUUGGACUAACUUCAAGGAUUAAGCUGGAUUGGCUUAUAAUAGACUAAGUUGGACUAAAUUAGUGAAACAUUUAGUUUAGCGCCGAACUAAAAAUCAAAAUAAUUACAACCUUUAAUAUUACAUUAUUUAAUACAUAUCUAUUAAUAUUUUAAUACAUACUUAUUAAUAUUUUAUUAUUAUGCAACAUUUUUCAUUUUCUUAAGAACUCUCCCUCUCCCUAGAAACUUCUUUGCUUUUCUCCCUCUUUGACCCCGUCAUAUUCUCUUCGUUUCUCCAUCUUUUUUCUGCAAAAUUUCAGAUCCUUCAAAAUUAUUUUUAUUGCAAGACGCAAUUUUUUCAAGAGAUUUUUCUGACCACUGUCCUGAUUUUGCAAUGCGAGAUCACCGUCUUGCAUUUGCAGUACGAGAUCGCUGUCCUGUUUUUCCAGUACGUGAUCGAAGUCCUUCUUUGCCAGAUCGAAUUCUGCAGAUUCUCAACCCGCAAUUUGAAACUUUGAAAUUGUUUUGAAUAAGGAAAAGAAGAGGAGGAAGAUGAGGAAAGGAGUACCUUGAGUCAUUACCCGUGAGAGGAAGAGAGGCUGGACUGCAAAAAUAGAGAAGCAUGAGUCGCCGCCGUUGAUCGAUUUCUCUGAAAUAACCCAUCAAUCCUCAGCGUCGCCUCCACAGAAGGGUGAGAUCGAUUUGAUGAAUAGUCAUCGAUCUGCUACUGUUGUUACUGUUGAUCUGCGAAGAAUGAGAUCCAUGGGUCCGAAAGUAGAAAGGGCAAGAUCAACUUAGCAGUCUAGCUAUUUUUGGAAGGUCUCGCUAAGACCCUUUAGUGAAGGCUUUAGUGAACGCGAGUCCCUCAUAAUCCCACUAAUGAUUAUCUAAGUUGGGGUAACGUGGAGUGCAUGUGGCUAUUUGGCACCAACUCUGAUACCAUGAAGAGAGUUGGGGUUCCACCAUAAAAUCAAUUGACAAUAUGGGGAGUAGCCCAACCUCUUAUAAACUCAUGCAAGGUCUCUCCUCUCAUCAAUGUGGAACAUUCUUAACAAACUGAAAUCAGGAUUUUAAAACAAAUUGAAUAAUAUUAAAGUGAUUAAUGAAGACUUGUACUUUGAAAUACACAAUUAAAAUUCCAACAACAUCAAAUUACAGGUGGCACAAUAUACACCAUUUAAUUAUUUUCAUGGUGACCAUCCAUUACAAACAAUUACAAACUCAGACAUUUCUUUAACUCUAAACCUGAAAACCAGUUCUCUUCCAAUCUGCAAACCAUCAAUCCUUGCAGCCACAAAGCUUAUGGUUCAGCAAUUCGGAACGGUUGAAUCCGCAUUCAAACUGCACAGCAGCCACCGUUUCCAUAUAGUUGAUAAGUUGUGUCUUAUAAUUGAUGUCUUUCUAUAAUUAAAUAAUAGCCAUUGAUAUUGCAUCGAAGUCAAACUGAUGACCAUUAUAAUUUACAGAAAGUUGACUAGUCUUAAUGAAGAGUUGUGGCUGAUUUAAAAGUGUGCUGCCGAAUGGAUGUACGCUAUGCGAAGAGAAACAGUAGCCUCUACAAGUAGAGGGCUUACAGGCUGAUGAUCAUCUAAUUUAUUACUUCUUUUUUUUUUUUAUAGAAAUUUUGCUGGUAUUUCGGUACUGUUCGGGACUGGGGCUUGAGUCCAAAUCGUUGGGUUUUCUAUAUUAUUUUGAAUUUUGGGCUGAAAUUUGGUCAGCUCAACUUUUAAUAUAUUGUGAUACUUGUGGUUCUUCCAUCUAAUUUAUUUUUUAUAUUAUUUUGUACUUAUCUCACAGAUCAGAACACGGCAUCUUUACCAACUACCAAUGACUUUUCCCCAUUAUUCUCUUCUUCUUGCCUACGGAUUAUAUUUGUGGAGUGACUCCCACAUACCACCCACAACUCCCAUAUAAACAAAUAGAGAGAGAGAGAGAGAGAGAGAUGACAGCUGCAAUGGGGGAUUCCACUAAUGUUUCUGAGGCAUAUCCAAUGAAAGGUGGAGAUGGCCCCGACAGCUAUGCCAAGAAUUCUAUCGAACAGGUUCUGCUAAUUGAUGAAAAAUCUUUUUUUUUUAUUUCUUUUUAUUCAGCCUUUACUACUUGGAAAUUCUUACGAAAAUGUUUUCUUCAUUAGUUAACUUGGAAAAGAGAAAAUUUUCUUCUUUCGUAAUCCUUUCUGUUGGUAUUAGGAAAUUCCAAGGAAGUUGCAAAAUCUGAACAUAUUAGCAUUAUAAUGUGAUUUGUGCUUUCGCAGAAAGUAGUUGUUGAUGCUACCAAAGAACUUCUAAGCAAGGCUAUUAAGAAAAGCUUGAACUGGACAUGUUUUUACCAUUCAACACCUUCCAUAUUGCAGAUUUGGGUUGUUCGGUUGGGCCUAAUACAUUUUUUUCUGUUGAAAAUAUACUUGAAGCUGUGAAAUUUGAGUAUCAAAGCGGAGGGCCGAGUUCUGAAGUCCCCAAAUUUCAAGUUUUCUUCAGUGAUAAAACCCUAAAUGAUUUUAACAUACUCUUCAAUUACCUCCCUCAGAACAGGAACUAUUAUGCAGCGGGUGUGCCAGGUUCUUUCCACGGUCGCUUGUUUCCCAAGGCUUCCAUUAACUUUUUUCACUCUUCAUUAGCCCUUCAUUGGCUUUCUAGG